Molecule: ribosomal RNA, 658 nt
Filed under: Escherichia coli
Lineage: Bacteria; Pseudomonadati; Pseudomonadota; Gammaproteobacteria; Enterobacterales; Enterobacteriaceae
Also listed under: 1 other name
Description: partial 23S ribosomal RNA
Rfam family: Bacterial large subunit ribosomal RNA
Source: RNAcentral
GGUAGUUUGACUGGGGCGGUCUCCUCCUAAAGAGUAACGGAGGAGCACGAAGGUUGGCUAAUCCUGGUCGGACAUCAGGAGGUUAGUGCAAUGGCAUAAGCCAGCUUGACUGCGAGCGUGACGGCGCGAGCAGGUGCGAAAGCAGGUCAUAGUGAUCCGGUGGUUCUGAAUGGAAGGGCCAUCGCUCAACGGAUAAAAGGUACUCCGGGGAUAACAGGCUGAUACCGCCCAAGAGUUCAUAUCGACGGCGGUGUUUGGCACCUCGAUGUCGGCUCAUCACAUCCUGGGGCUGAAGUAGGUCCCAAGGGUAUGGCUGUUCGCCAUUUAAAGUGGUACGCGAGCUGGGUUUAGAACGUCGUGAGACAGUUCGGUCCCUAUCUGCCGUGGGCGCUGGAGAACUGAGGGGGGCUGCUCCUAGUACGAGAGGACCGGAGUGGACGCAUCACUGGUGUUCGGGUUGUCAUGCCAAUGGCACUGCCCGGUAGCUAAAUGCGGAAGAGAUAAGUGCUGAAAGCAUCUAAGCACGAAACUUGCCCCGAGAUGAGUUCUCCCUGACCCUUUAAGGGUCCUGAAGGAACGUUGAAGACGACGACGUUGAUAGGCCGGGUGUGUAAGCGCAGCGAUGCGUUGAGCUAACCGGUACUAAUGAACCGUGAGG